UCCAUUGUUUUAGGUGGUAGCGCUGUCCUCUAUAUGGAGCAAGAAAUCCGUCGCAAUUCUUGUACCCAGCAUCCACAAGAUAGUAGCAGCCUAUGUUGCACAAAUCACAGUUUAUUUUCUUAUAAUCAUUUUGUGUAUAUUGACAGUAUUGUGAACUUGGUAAAUAUCGUUCACCACGAGGAACCUUGAGACCAUUUGGCCUUGCCAAGGCAUCUUGGAGCACCCUUGCACCAACAGCUGACCCUUCCCAACCAUAUGUGAAUUAAAUGUGAGGCGCACAAGAACCUAAGACAUUUGUGGCAAUUUCAUUCUUCCUUGAACGGUACUCCCUCCAUCCCAAAUUAUAAGUCAUUCCAAGAAUUUUGGAGAGUCAAAGUAUAUCAAGUUUGACCAAAUUUAUAUGAUAAUAUAAUAAUAUUUAUGAUGUCAACUAAGUAUCAUUAGGUUCUUCAUCAAUUAUAUUUUCAUAGUAUACCUAUUUGAUGUCAUAAUUUUUUAUAAUUUUCUCUAUAAUUUUGCUCAAACUUGAGAUGCUUUGACUCUUCAAGAUUCUUGGAAUGACUUAUAAUUUGGAAUGGAGGGAGUACCUUGGUUUAUCAACUGCUGGGACUCUAACUUUUAUGUAGGUACCAUCUAGAGCACAAUUCUGUUGUAACAGAAGUAUCUUGUUAGUAUGUGUUGGGAAAAUUCUAAUACAGUACAUUCUAUUUAAUCCAGUUUCACCUUAAACCAUUUCCACCUUUCUUCCUUGUAGUUGUCUGUGGCUGGCUGAGGGCUCUUAAACAGCACCUUCCAAAGCUUUAGCACUGCUCCUAGCACAUUAUUAAAGUGACGACUUAUGGUCUCUUGAGAUCGCUGGUAAUCUGUCGUCAUGGAGCGACUUUUCUCGUCGUAAGCUAGUACAUGUAGGAACAUUGGAACCAUUUCCUCGACCUUGACAUUUCUAGUAUCCCUCAAUCCCCCAAUAUCUAUGACCAAUGAACACAAAGCCCAAAAACAGCGCCUAUCCAUCCGUAGUUGCUGAACACACAGGAUGUCACUUUGAGAGAUGAUCGACUUUGUGGGUCAAACCUACAAGGCUCUCUGAUAAGCCUAAGCUGAUGCUUUGUAAUCAAUAAGAAGCAAUGCAG
This 1130-nucleotide long non-coding RNA is filed under the name Setaria viridis. Its description in RNAcentral is "long non-coding RNA (SVIR_LNC008905)". Lineage: Eukaryota; Viridiplantae; Streptophyta; Magnoliopsida; Poales; Poaceae. The record is from RNAcentral.